CUACGUAUAACCGAGAUACGGUGAACACGUUUGGAUUUGGUCAUCGAGUUGGAGCCUACUUUAAUGGCGAUCUAGAUCUCGAAUUUCUUCCAGGAGACGGUUCCAAACCUGAUAUAUCCCCCGUAAAGCAAUCCAAAACCAAUCAAAAGCCAGUUGAACAACGUAAUUAACACGGCUGCACGGUUCAAGCCUCCUUUCAGAUUCUUGUCUUCACUGCUUUGUGCUCAAAAGCCCUGGAUGAUUACUUGGGAGAAGAAUUGAUUCUUAUCGUUGAUCAUCGUCAUUUAUGAUCUGAGUGGAAAUAAAUUCGUUUAAGAAUUUGUUUUUGAUCACAAACAGUCUGUGGGCGGGAUCUGACUCUCUAAUUCUGGAUUUUCUUAGAUAAAGUAGUCGAACUUGAUCUUCUGGUAGGUCUGGGACAGGAAAAUGCGGGAAAAGCUGGCAACUUUUGUGUGUGUUUGGUUUUUCCUUUGUGGGGGAUGCGUGGGUAGGUUUGUGGUGGAAAAGAACAGCUUGAAGGUGACUUCACCGGACUCGUUGAAGAAUGUAUACGAAUGUGCAAUUGGGAAUUUUGGGGUUCCUCAAUAUGGAGGGACCUUGGUUGGCACUGUGAUUUACCCAAAAGCCAAUCAAAAGGGAUGCAAGAGCUUCGACGAUCAUGACAUCUCCUUCAAAUCCAAGCCCGGUGGCUUUCCCAUCUUUCUUCUUGUCGAUCGAGGAGAUUGUUAUUUCACCUUGAAGGCAUGGAAUGCACAGAAUGCUGGAGGAGCAGCUAUUCUAGUUGCAGACGACAGAAUUGAACCUUUGAUCACCAUGGACGCCCCGGAAGAAGAUGAUGCACAGUCAGAUUAUCUGCAAAAGAUAAACAUCCCUGCAGCACUAAUAAGCAAAUCUUUUGGGGAUAGCAUCAAGAAAGCUCUAUCUAGUGGUGAGAUGGUUACCAUCAAUCUUGACUGGAGAGAGUCUCUUCCACAUCCUGAUGACCGAGUUGAAUAUGAAUUCUGGACAAAUAGCAAUGACGAAUGUGGGCCUAAAUGUGACAGCCAGAUUGAAUUUGUCAAGAGCUUCAAAGGUGCAGCUCAGAUUCUUGAAAAGAAUGGCUACACUCAGUUUACUCCGCACUACAUAACCUGGUAUUGUCCAGAAGCCUUCCUCUUGAGCAGACAGUGCAAGUCUCAGUGCAUCAACCAUGGAAGAUACUGUGCUCCAGAUCCAGAACAGGACUUCACCAUAGGGUAUGAUGGGAAGGAUGUUGUUGUUCAGAAUUUGCGGCAAGCUUGCCUUUUCAAGGCGGCCAAUGAAAGUGGGAAACCCUGGCUUUGGUGGGACUACGUGACUGACUUUGAAAUUCGUUGUCCAAUGAGAGAGAAGAAGUAUAACAAAGAGUGCGCAGAUCAAGUUAUCAAAUCCCUUGGUAUUGAUGUCAAGCAGAUUGACAAGUGCAUAGGAGAUCCUAAUGCAGAUGUUGACAACCCAGUACUCAAGGCUGAGCAGGAAGCACAGAUUGGCAGUGGCUCACGUGGGGAUGUGACUAUAUUGCCAACUCUUGUUGUGAACAACCGGCAAUAUAGAGGUAAGCUGGAAAAAAGUGCAAUUCUGAAAGCCAUCUGUUCAGGUUUUAAGGAGACCACGGAGCCUUCCAUUUGUUUAACUGAAGAUAUAGAAACUAAUGAGUGUCUAGAAAACAAUGGUGGGUGCUGGCAGGAUCAGGCUGCUAACAUCACUGCAUGCCGGGACACUUUCCGGGGAAGAGUGUGUGAAUGCCCCAUUGUGCAGGGUGUAAAGUUUGUUGGUGAUGGCUAUACAAAUUGCCGAGCUUCUGGUGCUUUACGGUGUGCAAUAAACAAUGGAGGGUGUUGGAAGAAGAACCAGGAUGGAAGGAGUUAUUCUGCUUGCAUUGAUGACCAUUCAAAAGGUUGCAAGUGUCCACCGGGAUUCAAGGGUGAUGGGAUGAAGACUUGUGAAGAUAUUGAUGAAUGCAAAGAAAAGUUAGCCUGCCAAUGCCCACAGUGCAAAUGCAAGAAUACCUGGGGCAGUUAUGAGUGCAGCUGUAGCGGCAGUUUAUUGUACAUGCGAGAACACGACACGUGCAUAGGUAAGGAUGCCAAUACAGGGCUCAGCGGGGGAUUUAUUUGGUUUAUUGUUCUUGGAUUAGCUGCUGCCGGGGUAGGUGGAUAUGCAAUUUACAAGUACAGAAUCCGGAGCUACAUGGACUCUGAGAUUCGGGCUAUCAUGGCACAAUACAUGCCACUGGAUAAUCAAGGAGAGGUCCCAAAUCACAUGGUCAGCCAUGGAGGGGUAUGAAGAUGAGGCUUACAUUAUUGGGAACUGCACGCGAGAAAUCCACAACUCCAGGGACGGUUGGACCAAGAGUGGGGGCUCGUGGAGGAUAAGUAAGGAGGAGCGUAAGUCAAGCGGCAACUCUGACCUCUUAGACAAAGACAAAUUGGUUGUUCCAGGCUUCCAGCCCAACUAGGCUGAGACAAAAGCGCUGAGCAUAAUGGGCUGAAACAUCUCAUUGUCAUUACCCUCGAAGAUUUUUGACUUCUCUCUCUCUCUCUCUCUCUCUAACUAACUAAUUUUUUUCUCCUCUCUCUUUUUGUACCUUAAAACAAGACAGAUUCCCACUGCCAUAUAUAUAUAUAUAUAUAUAUAUAUGUACAUAGUAAUGCACUCGCUUAUCCUUGCCACCACACGAGGUACAUGCAACUAAACAACUCUCAAUGUUUAGUUUUUUUAGGCAAGGCAACAAGCAGCGCCACACAGAUCAAGUGUCCGGAAAACUGUAUCUUUUCUAGGAAAAUGACAUAUUAAUAG
This is an RNA transcript of Diospyros lotus (date-plum), 2817 nucleotides long. It is a transcript of the gene named vacuolar-sorting receptor 1-like, with no coding region annotated. The transcript has 13 exons. The record is from RefSeq and is a predicted model, not a curated record. Lineage: Eukaryota; Viridiplantae; Streptophyta; Magnoliopsida; Ericales; Ebenaceae.